GUAGGAAUGAAUAUUAGUACAGCCAUUAUGGAAAACAGUACAGAGGAGAUUCCUUAAAGACAUAAAAGUAGAACUACCAUUUGAUUCAGCAAUCCCACUACUGGAUAUCUACCCAGAGGAAAAGAAGUCAUUACAC
Molecule: long non-coding RNA, 136 nt
Organism: Nomascus leucogenys (northern white-cheeked gibbon)
Lineage: Eukaryota; Metazoa; Chordata; Mammalia; Primates; Hylobatidae
Exons: 2
Source: RefSeq, a predicted model, not a curated record